Molecule: ribosomal RNA, 445 nt
Filed under: uncultured bacterium
Lineage: Bacteria
Description: SSU rRNA
Rfam family: Bacterial small subunit ribosomal RNA
Source: RNAcentral
AGAACGAACGCUGGCGGCAUGCCUAACACAUGCAAGUCGAACGGGACCUUCGGGUCUAGUGGCGCACGGGUGCGUAACGCGUGGGGAUCUGCCCUUAGGUACGGAAUAACUCAGGGAAACUUGAGCUAAUACCGUAUAAUGACUUCGGUCCAAAGAUUUAUCGCCUAGGGAUGAACCCGCGUAGGAUUAGCUUGUUGGUGAGGUAAAGGCUCACCAAGGCGACGAUCCUUAGCUGGUCUGAGAGGAUGAUCAGCCACACUGGGACUGAGACACGGCCCAGACUCCUACGGGAGGCAGCAGUGGGGAAUAUUGGACAAUGGGCGAAAGCCUGAUCCAGCAAUGCCGCGUGAGUGAUGAAGGCCUUAGGGUUGUAAAGCUCUUUGCCCGGGAUGAUAAUGACAGUACCGGGAGAAUAAGCUCCGGCUAACUCCGUGCCAGCAGCCGC